This 492-nucleotide ribosomal RNA is filed under the name uncultured bacterium. RNAcentral describes it as "partial 16S ribosomal RNA". It matches the Rfam family "Bacterial small subunit ribosomal RNA", at positions 29 to 507 of the family's 1533-position model. The record is from RNAcentral.
AGUGAACGCUGGCGGUAGGCCUAACACAUGCAAGUCGAACGGCAGCACAGUAAGAGCUUGCUCUUACGGGUGGCGAGUGGCGGACGGGUGAGGAAUACAUCGGAAUCUACUUUUUCGUGGGGGAUAACGUAGGGAAACUUACGCUAAUACCGCAUACGACCUACGGGUGAAAGCAGGGGAUCUUCGGACCUUGCGCGAUUGAAUGAGCCGAUGUCGGAUUAGCUAGUUGGCGGGGUAAAGGCCCACCAAGGCGACGAUCCGUAGCUGGUCUGAGAGGAUGAUCAGCCACACUGGAACUGAGACACGGUCCAGACUCCUACGGGAGGCAGCAGUGGGGAAUAUUGGACAAUGGGCGGAAGCCUGAUCCAGCCAUACCGCGUGGGUGAAGAAGGCCUUCGGGUUGUAAAGCCCUUUUGUUGUGAAAGAAAAGCAGCAGGUUAAUACCCCGCUGUUCUGACGGUACCCAAAGAAUAAGCACCGGCUAACUUCGUG